This is a long non-coding RNA of Mesoplodon densirostris (Blainville's beaked whale), 3299 nucleotides long. RefSeq lists it as uncharacterized. The transcript is spliced from 5 exons. NCBI's taxonomy places the organism in Eukaryota, Metazoa, Chordata, Mammalia, Artiodactyla, Ziphiidae. The record is from RefSeq and is a predicted model, not a curated record.
UUUUCACUCCGCGCGGAAUUCCACACGGACCCGGAAACGGAGAGUGUGGAGAGAGUCUCGCUGCCCAGCAUGAAGGAAGUUAGGACAGAGGCAAAUUUGAAAGCUCAUUUAAUCCCAUCCCAACAAGUGGCUGAAUCUGGAUUUGAGUCCAUGUUGUCCGGUUGUAAAGACGUCUCUUAACCAUGACGCUACACUAACAAGGCAAAUUAUUUCUAUCCUUCAGCUAUUCAACAUCUGUAUUUAAUUUUUUCUGGAGGCCGGAAGUGUAAAAUGGAUCCAAAGCCCUGUGCUCCUUCUGGAUACUUGAGGUCCAGUGACCUCUAAAGACUCUUGUCUGAGAAAGAAGCCCUGAAGAGGAGGGAGAGGAAAGAACUGGAGUCAGGAAUGACUCUUUCUCAGAUACGACGAGGUCUUCUCUGGCCGUGUACAGACCUUUCUCCCGCUCCGUCACGUGAGUACAGAAGGCUGCCAGGCGCCCAGCUCCUUCGUCUGGCUCUGCUCUCGACUGCUUGAGAUUUCCCGGAGCUCGGGCACUCCAGCCAGGUCUUCCUCGUGAGAACCAUCAGAAGAUCUCUAAUGGAAAGAAUCCUUAAACGGCCUUGUUUGGUGAGGGGCAAAAUAAAGCACUUCCAGGAAAUUGCUAAGAUCAAAACUGCCUUCUGCCCGCUGUGGGCUCACACGACUGUCACGGCCGCUCAGGUCUAGGCGGUGUGUUGGUGACAGACCUGCACAGACUGGACAGGUGAGAUGAGAACCAAACAGGGAGACAAGGACUUGCCUUUCCAUGCAUGCUCGGGGUUUACGUCAAGCACCCCCGUCUGUUAAUGUCUUCUCCUGGUUUUCCUGCUCUUUAAGAAUCAUUAGCUAAGGGCCUUUCCUGGUACUCCAGUGGAUAACACUGGCACUCCCAAUGCGGGGGGCCCGGGUUUGAUCCCUGGUCGGGGAACUAGAUCCCACACGCUGCGCAGUGUGGCCAGUGAGUCAAGUUAGAGAAAUUCCCCCUCAAAUGUACUAAAAUUACAUUAACUCUCAUCAUAAAUUUCAAGCAAGGUAUGAGAACCCUGAACUGGUCAACCCCAGUCCGCUUAGUGGGAAGAUGUCGAAAAUGUGUUUAAAAGCAGGCAGAGUGGAUCAUCUUUUGAGUUUAAAGACAGUAACCUGGAGCCCAAUCAUGACCAGAAGCAAAUGUUAACGCAGUAAGAACCCCACUAACCCUGGUGGUCUUCCUUUCCGCUUUCAGUUCAGCGAUUUCUUUUUCUCUUUCAAGGAGCUGCUCUCUGCAUAUGUUUAGUUCUUUAGUUCUUAACUGCUGCAAAAUCCUGGAAAACAGUUAAAUAAAUAGAAGUAGAAAAGAGACCCUCAAGACUGUCCCCAGUCAAUCCUCUCCAGUCUUCACACAAAGGCACCUUGCACCUUUGUGGGAGGACCCCUCUGACCCUCCAGAGAAAGAGGGGGUCCACCCAAGACCCCCCCGGACCACCAUAACUCAGACCAGCCUUCACCCCUCUGCCCCUGACCCUGGCAUGCACACGGAUCGGGGUGGGAAGGGAACGCAACCCCACUUUCUCAAGAUCCAGGGAAGUCCAAGAUAUUUUUCUGAAUGUAAAUCCUAACACUAAGGUGGAGAUAUAUAUAUAUAUAUAUAUAUAUAUAUAUAUUUUAAAUAUUUAUUUGGCUGCACCAGGUCUUAGUUGCAGCACGGGGGAUCUUUGCUGUGGCAUGGACAUGACCAAUGGCGCCCUUUUUGUAAAGGGGCCUUCAGGGACGCUGUGCUAGCGCACCUUCUCUGCCUGAGCAGCCAUUUAUGAUGAAGCUGAAGCCUCUUAUUAGAUUCUGAAAGAAGCUUGUCAGCAGCAUCUGAUAAGCAUUUAUUACAUUUUCCAUUCAUUUUUUCUCUCUGCCUUACCUAAAAUAGGAAAAACGAAAACUUCUAAACCUCAAGAACAAGUAUGGCCAUUAUUUUAAAAGCACCAAGGAGCGACAACAUUGAGUGGCUUGUGCCCUGGUUCCCUAGGCUGUCAGCUUUCAAGUGAACCCAGAAAGGAGUCAGCAUUCUGAACCACACACAACUGCCAGACUCUAAAUGCAUCUAAAAUGCAAACACAUUCGGUGCACAAAUCCAGGGGUGCUGUAUACAUUACAGCAGUGGACUAGCGUAGACGUUGGCUAAACAUCUGUAGUAAUUAUAAUAACUAUGAACCCAGCUCAAUUCACCUCUUAACAGAUUUCUAAACGAUUUAGAGAUUUAAGUACCUGAUGAUGUUGCAUUUCUUGUAACUGCUGUUUUGCCUAAAAUAGGAGAAACAACUUACAGACUUUAAGAACAAGUAUGGUCCAUGUUUUAAAAGCACCAAGGAGCGACGACGGGCGUGGCCUGUGCCCUGGCUCCGUAGGCUGUGGCUUCCCACUGCUAUCUCUAGUGGACUCUGCACCAUCACCAGAGCUGACCCACAGGUACAGAGAAGGGCAGCGACAUGGUUCGUUACAAGGUCCCUCCCCACGGCUUCUGUUCAACAAAGGACCCAGGGGGCCUCAGGACUGUCACCAGCCAUUACUGUCAGGUGGACUCAGCGAGCAGAUUUAUAUGCAGAAACAAGCGUAUUUUAAAGGGCAUCAGCUUAUAUACACAUUGGUGGAGGAAUUUCCCAGUGUGUAAACCAAAGAUUGAGUCUGGAUUAAGCCGCUUGUGGGCUCUUUGUCGUGGCACGCAUGUGGGAUCUAAUUCCCUGACCAGGGAUCAAACCCAGCCCCCUGCACUGGAAACGCAGAGUCUCACCCACUGGACCACCAGUGAAGUCCGUGGCUCUGCUCUCUUGACUGCUCAUCUAGGAUUUCCUGGAGCUCGAUCACUUUAGCCAGGUCUUCCUUGUGGCUUAGGGAAAAAUCAGAAAGAAUCCUUAAACAGCCUUGUUUGGUGAGGGAUGAAAUAAAGCACUUCCAGGAAAUCGGUAAGGUCAAAACUGCCUUCUGCACGCAGUGGGCUCACACUCACGGCCACUCAGGAGAGAGUCAAAGAGGGGUCAGAAACCACUGCCUCAGCCCAAUGAGUCCACCACCCACCACAAGAACGGGACCACCAGAAAUCAUUCCCUCCCAAAGUGAGGGUAAAGCGAGGAAAUGAGGUAAGGCUGGGAGGCAAAGUGGGAGACGUUAAAUCCCCAAGGAACGCGAACUACACGGUGCUCAUACCUUAAAGUGGUUUCUAAGUGGCGUAUUGCUCUUUUAAUUUUCUAACCAGUAAAAAAAAAAUGUAAAUCACAUUGAAAGUUGUUACGGUCAACAUUGUUACGCAUACGUUU